Molecule: non-coding RNA, 3184 nt
Organism: Megalopta genalis
Lineage: Eukaryota; Metazoa; Arthropoda; Insecta; Hymenoptera; Halictidae
Source: RefSeq, a predicted model, not a curated record
UGUUAUUUAAUACGGUAUAUAUAUCAUAACAGUAUAAUAUUAUUAUAUUUAAAAUAUUGACACGACCACGACUGCCUCUCGUGAUCAAUUACAAAAAUAAUCGCGAAAUAGUCAUCAAAUAUUAAUGCCCAGCUCUGAUCCAGCCGGCGUUGCUAUCUAUUAACGGCAAGAAACGAUUAAAUAACAAUUUCUCUAGCGUUCAUUAAUAUUUCUUUUCCGGUCGCCUAUUUGGGCGACUUUAGUAUCAUAGCGACACGGAGGUGUCGCUGUUCUCGAGCAUCGAAACCGAUUUUCGAAACUUAACCUAACUUCACGACAGACAAAAAGUCUCCUACGCUCGACAGCCUGGCCCCUCGAUCUGACCUCUUCGUUCGGCGAGCUUUGAACUCUCGUAGAUACCGUUAGAGCACCAGAAACGUUUCUCCGACUGAUUAAUUAGCGAUAAUCAUUACCUUAUAAAUUAGAACCUAUAAAGCCGUUAGGGUCUCGAUUACGUUGUUCAAUGCUUCUCAUUUCUUUCCGUCGUGUUCGAAAGUCUACGCCACCUCGGUAAACAUUCAUUUGUAUUCUCUCGCCAUUUUGAAAAAUAGAAACAACAAUAUGGCAACACGGUGUUCCAUGCUGUUCCGCAAAAAAUAAAAAUAAAAAAAAAGAAACUAACAACAUUUAAUCGAACGACAGACGAUAAUUUGACGCGAAAACAGUUAAAUUGUAACGAUAUAUAUUCGAUCUCGAUGAUUCGGCGACCGUAAUAAUAAUAAUAAUAAUCGUUUACGAAAGCGUUCUCCAACCGGAAGCUCGGCUCGCAAGGAACGUACGACUGAUUUCACACACCGAUCUUAGACUUGUAAGAAUGAAGGCGAACGAAGGAGGGCGUCGUCGGAACUUUUAUCACGUAAUCCCUAAUACUCUGGUAAAAUGCAUGUAUUUUCGUAAUGCCAAAAAUAAAGGAAACAGUGCAAGAGUUAUUUGCAAAACGAAAAUGUGUCGAAAUGAUUCUACGAUCGACGUGAUUUCAAUUCGGAGAAAAGAACAAUUUUACCGGACGACCGAGAAAAAGAUUACUUGUCGACGCGUGCGCAAAGGGAACCGGCGCACGCUGCAUCGAAAGUGCGUCUUCCCGAUGAUCCGAUUAAUAAUAACCAACAAUCGAACUUACCUGUUUCAGGAAAGAUGCAUCCCCCGACUGAAGCGCAAGAAGCCUCGUUGCACGAGCCGGUCCGUCGUUUUUCUUGGUUCAACACUUCACAACACAGUUCACAAUUUUUAAUAAGAAAACGUUUCGCGAAACGACGCUCCGAUCUUCAUUGCAGCGGUCGAUCCUCUGGUCUCGCUGAUCCACCUGAAGUUCGAUCCAAGUGUACCCUCGUUCGCAUAGGUGUCGCUGCGGUCGGCGAGCUCAGCGCCACCUGGCGCGGAAGCUGUGCUCUCGGAAGUUGAUCUGCCAGUGUCACAUUCGACGGUGACGCGUUCUGUAGUUUCUUCGAUCGAAAAUGUGCGCGCGGCAAUCUCGUCUUUCACAGACGGAGUUUGGGGUUACUUUUGAGCAUAUUUCGCGCGGAAUGUUACCGUGAACGAUCGCGAUCGCGGUAUCAUCGGGACAAAAAGUGUGUGAUCGGUGCUUCUUUCGUGCAAUUCGGUGUCGAGUGCUCGCUUCGAAAAGCUUGGAAAGCUGCGCCGAAAAGCUUGGAGAGAUUAUUUUCGCGUUGAAUCGAGUUAUAAACUCACGUCUGCAAUAUUCUUCGCGUCUCUCGUCGCAAUUUUCUGUGCCUGUGUUAUAUAUAUAUGCCGCAGCAGUGUUCGUUCGCGAGGAAGAGAAACAAUAAUAUCGAAUCACCGACUCGUUGUUCUUGUAUCGGGCAGACUGGGGUUUCCACGUGUGCUGCGAGUGCAAGAAAACGUACAGGUCGAGAAUGGCGCUGAACCGGCACGUGCGGGAGGAGUGCGGCAGGAUCUUGUACACGUGCCCCUUCUGCUACAGUGUGAUGCCGAUGAAGUUCAACCUGCUGAACCAUUUGAAGAAGGAGCACGGCUGCGCGACGAAGAUCUAAACGGACUGCCGGAUGCCCGAUGCUCGCCGAACGAUCUGAUCUGGCUCUCGUUUAAACGAGACGCGAGCUCGCGUCGAAAUGCGAGCCUGCAAGCUGUUUCUCGAUUGUAAAGCCACGUGGGCCGGCGCGUUGCCGACCGAACGACCGACGACCGAGCUUGAGAUUCCGCGAAGAAUUCUGCGUCGACAGCGUUGAAACUGCUCCCUGUUGACAUCACAAUUAUGCAACACCCUGCACAUAAACACGGAUAAUUCAGACCCGUGAAAGUGUUCCGAAAACACGAUCUGCAAAAGGAUUGAUUUCGAACGGAAAAAAAAGCGAAUACAAUCCGCGAAAAGAUUAAUUUGUGGCGCAAAGGACCUGCAAGUAGAAACGUCACGCAAUGGUCAGACGCGGCGUGUUCCAACUCGACUUUUCUCGCAAACGGAGGGAGUCUCGUUCAAGGAAAUUUCUGCGUCGGCAUUUCCGACGCAUCUUUCGACGAAAAAGCGGUCGUUCGUCGGUCGGCAAAGCCGGUUCGCCUCCGGCAGCCUCGUCUCCCCUCGAGAAGAACGAACCGUCGUCGACGGUUCUCUUCGUUCGUGCGAAUGACCGGUUGUCUGACCGGAAGUCAGUGGCACACGUGCAAGGCCUGCGGGAACGUGUACAUGUAUUACAGCUCGUUGACCAGACACAUACGCGAGGAGUGCGGCCAGCCGCCGAAAUAUCUCUGCCCGUACUGUCCGAAGAGAACGAAGUUACGGUGCAACUUGUUGAAACAUAUGCGAAAAAAGCACGGCUGAGUCCCCGAGGGCCCGAUUGAUCAGCGACAGCCGGGAUGAAAAGACGCGAGAGCCAGCCAAGCCCGAUAUUCUCUGUCGUCGAAAGCGGGGCCCUCGCCAGCGAGUAUUCGAUAAACGAACGAACAAGCAAACAAAAUCGCUAUCACGUCGACGACAUCCGUCGGGAAUUAUUACUGUCGCGGACUACCGUCAGAGAGAGAGAGAGAGAGAGAGAGAGGGUUGGUUCUCUUUAGCGGAGACACGAAAGCCCCCCGAAAAUUUCCCAUCCAAAGAGACUUCUCUGUAAAAUAGUGUACAUUUCUUUCUAAAAGCAUGCCCUUGGUCUUUGUAAAUAAAACCACUAAGAAGCUA